UACGAGAGGCCCAAACGUUAUUCGGAAUUACUGGGCUUAAAGAGUUCGUAGGCGGCAUGAAAAGUAGGGUGUGAAAGCCCUCGGCUCAACCGAGGAAUUGCGCUCUAAACUGUCGUGCUCGAGGAACCUAGAGGUGAGCAGAACUGAUGGUGGAGCGGUGAAAUGCGUUGAUAUCAUCAGGAAUACCGGAGGCGAAGGCGGCUCACUGGGGGUUUUCUGACGCUGAGGAACGAAAGCCAGGGGAGCGAACGGG
Molecule: ribosomal RNA, 253 nt
Filed under: uncultured bacterium
Lineage: Bacteria
Description: partial 16S ribosomal RNA
Rfam family: Bacterial small subunit ribosomal RNA
Source: RNAcentral